This 942-nucleotide long non-coding RNA is filed under the name Triticum aestivum (bread wheat). Its description in RNAcentral is "long non-coding RNA (TAES_LNC015764)". Lineage: Eukaryota; Viridiplantae; Streptophyta; Magnoliopsida; Poales; Poaceae. The record is from RNAcentral.
UUCAUUUUUUAAGUCGGUGUCCAUGACUACAUAAACAAAUGCAGAUGGUCAGAAAAGAAAUAAGUUGGAGACCAGCAAGUUGUGUGGAUCAGCACAAAUGUAGGAAACACGGCUUAUUUAUAUACCUCAGUUGGUGGUGGAUCAUCACAGACGCAGAGCAUCAUAAGAGUAUACUGAAACAAAGCUAGUGCAUCAAUAGUGAGAAAGGAAGGGAGAAAACCUUGGUGAACAGACCAAGGAAGAAGCGCAUGUGGUCAGAACUAAAAAAAUCAUAUAGCCUACUCCAACAUGGCUGAAUAGAUGGAUCCCAAGAAAAAAAAUACAAAUCUACAACAACACAGCCGGAUAUCAAGAUUCUUAGAACGAAUGCAUAAACUAAAAAGCCCAAAAAGAAUCAUAUCCCAUUCCAAAAGUACUAUAUAAACAUAUCAACACUGUCAAGACAAACGUGUAAACCAUAAGACCAAACAAACAAUCUGACCCAUGAACAAAUAAAGAACACCACUAACAUGACCCAACAUACAAAUAGCCAUCAAGCAUGCCCAAAAUAUAACUCAUUUUAACCUCCUCAAAAGAUUGCCUAAUUGAAUGGGAAAAUAAAAUAGCUAUAUCUGUCGGAUAGCAAAGUUAUGUAGACCCGACUCAGCUGGCCACGGACAAAGAGAACUUUGAAACCAAGAUUUCUUCCCUGUCAGCUCGUGCACUACUAUAACCUGUGAGUAGGAACAGGAUGACACCAGGUUGCAAUCAAGGACCACUGAAUUAUGAGAAUAAAAAAUAAGUAAAAGAAACUACAUACUGAGAAAACCCCAACAAUUCGGCAAUCCAUUCCAAGACACGAUAAAUUCACAAGCCCAAUUACAUUAUACCUCACAGCCGGAACAACAGUGGUCACAACACUUCCAUAUGCUGGCACAGAGCAUCCAACUCUCAGUCCGCAAC